ACUUGAUACUGUUUAAAAAAUCUGGAGUGAUAACAGGAUUGUUAAGUGAAUUAGAAUCUGUAGGAUCUAUGGAAUCAGCAGAUAGAUAAAUUCUUUCCUCGGCUGAA
This 107-nucleotide small RNA is filed under the name Arabidopsis thaliana (thale cress). RNAcentral describes it as "ATSL276540". Lineage: Eukaryota; Viridiplantae; Streptophyta; Magnoliopsida; Brassicales; Brassicaceae. The record is from RNAcentral.